CCUACGGGGGGCAGCAGUGAGGAAUAUUGGUCAAUGGACGAGAGUCUGAACCAGCCAAGUAGCGUGAAGGAUGACUGCCCUAUGGGUUGUAAACUUCUUUUAUAUGGGAAUAAAAUGUUCCACGUGUGGGAUUUUGUAUGUACCAUAUGAAUAAGGAUCGGCUAACUCCGUACCAGCAGCCGCGGUAAUACGGAGGAUCCGAGCGUUAUCCGGAUUUAUUGGGUUUAAAGGGAGCGUAGGUGGAUUGUUAAGUCAGUUGUGAAAGUUUGCGGCUCAACCGUAAAAUUGCAGUUGAAACUGGCAGUCUUGAGUACAGUAGAGGUGGGCGGAAUUCGUGGUGUAGCGGUGAAAUGCUUAGAUAUCACGAAGAACUCCGAUUGCGAAGGCAGUUCACUGGACUGCAACUGACACUGAGGCUCGAAAGUGUGGGUAUCAAACAGGAUUAGAUACCCGAGUAGUC
Molecule: ribosomal RNA, 460 nt
Filed under: uncultured bacterium
Lineage: Bacteria
Description: partial 16S ribosomal RNA
Rfam family: Bacterial small subunit ribosomal RNA
Source: RNAcentral